RNAcentral lists this unclassified non-coding RNA (791 nucleotides) under Hevea brasiliensis (rubber tree). The record is from RNAcentral. Lineage: Eukaryota; Viridiplantae; Streptophyta; Magnoliopsida; Malpighiales; Euphorbiaceae.
GCUUUGAUGAAAUUAGAGAGUUAAAAAUAGAGGAGGGAAAAUGACAUUUAGAGAAAAACACAAGAUUAUACUUCCUCUCCAAAAAGGAGUAAUAUAAUCAUACAUCACACCAGUAGUAGAUCCUGAUUCUAAUUCGUGGGAUCCACUCAUCCCAACAAGCAGGUCUAUGAGACUUUAUGGUUGUUGGCCUCACCAAUCUUCCAAUCCCAACAACUUCACACCCAUCAUCUAGUUUUUCUGGAUUGUGAUUUCCUUCUAUCUUUCAUGCUCUCACGCUUAGGAUUCGAAAACUAAGCAUCUAAAGUUACAUUUUACAUGCCACAGCAAUCUUGGAGAAACCAAUCUCCCUUUCACAUCAUGAAGCAAAAACUAAAAUGUGAAGAGUAAAAAACAAAACCAAAAAAAGAAAAGAGGCAAAAUUCUCCACCCCAAGACACUGGCACAAAAAUAGCCAAGGACAAGCCUUCUACUCUCUCUCCUCUUUAGUCAACUGGGAAUAGCUUCUCUAAAAUAAACCUUCUGUACAAAAUGCUAGAUCAGUCACAUACCCACCAAUACCAUUGCAAAUUCCAUUCCUCACUAAUUUUCAGGGGUACUAAAAUGAUUUAUGAAUAUAUAUUUAAUAAUUGUGUAAAUUCUUCACUCAGUUGUUGUAGUGGUCAGUGGAGAAGUAUCCUUUGAUGCUUGGUCUCUGUUGGAGAGUCAGAGCCAUCACAGAGUACCCUCUUCCUAUUGCAACCAUUAAUGUUUAUCAAGGAGUCUUGGUGGAGGAGCAGUGGUGGUGGUGGUGG